CAACUAAAUUGGUGUGGGAGAGGAAAUAAAACCAGUAUUAAAUCCAGACCUGUAGCUGAAAUGCUAAUAUCAUCAGUGCACAAAAACAAUAACAGUGUCACCGAGUCGGAUGUGGAGAAGGAGGUAAAAAACUGGCUCCGAUUGAGCAGGGACCGGUUGGAUGGCUGCCGUCGACAGCGGAGGACCCAAACAACUAGAAGAGAGGAGAGAGGGCUGCCAGCUUGCAGUGACUGAGGAUGGACAGAGGC
Molecule: long non-coding RNA, 248 nt
Organism: Neoarius graeffei (lesser salmon catfish)
Lineage: Eukaryota; Metazoa; Chordata; Actinopteri; Siluriformes; Ariidae
Exons: 3
Source: RefSeq, a predicted model, not a curated record